GUAAAGCUCGGUUCAACAGGAGGAGGGUGCUAUAAAAUAGGCCCAAUCUAUUCCAGUGGGUUUAAGCCACAUUUGCACUCUUUCAAGCCGAGGUCAUUCUGCACCAGUCUGGUUCCCUGGUGUAAAUUGGCUACCCUAACUUGAGCUGCCUGCCAAUGGCCUGAAGGUCCCAGAAGGUCGUUGGAGGAUCCCCAUAUGCAGCAUUUCUUUAAGCUCCAAGGAACAAAACAUGCCAAUUGCAUGCGAGGAAUGGAGAAGAUGCUCCUUAUGCAAGUGUGCUGACUAGAUGAUCACAACGAUCCCUUCUGGCUUGGAAUCUGACUCUGAUACUCUAUCAGCCUCCAUCCUCUGUGACCCAAUCCAAUGAAAGGCAUGAUCCAGGAAACUUGUGGAGAAAAGGAAAUCCUUCCACUGUGCUUGAUUUUACCUUCUGAAGGCUCCAACUCUCCCAUUAUCAACAUCAAGAGAGAAGUCUGAAAAUAAUUAACAGUUAAUGUAUCAGAUCUACACAACUCUA
Mauremys mutica (yellowpond turtle) is the source of this 517-nucleotide long non-coding RNA. RefSeq lists it as uncharacterized. The transcript is spliced from 3 exons. NCBI's taxonomy places the organism in Eukaryota, Metazoa, Chordata, Testudines, Geoemydidae. The record is from RefSeq and is a predicted model, not a curated record.